GACGAACGCUGGCGGCGUGCUUAACACAUGCAAGUCGAACGGAAAGGCCCUGCUUGCAGGGUGCUCGAGUGGCGAACGGGUGAGUAACACGUGGGUGAUCUGCCCCUUACUUUGGGAUAAGCCUGGGAAACUGGGUCUAAUACUGGAUAGGACCAUGCUGUAGGUGGUGUGGUGGAAAGAUUAGUUUCGGUGAGGGAUGAGCUCGCGGCCUAUCAGCUUGUUGGUGGGGUAAUGGCCUACCAAGGCGUCGACGGGUAGCCGGCCUGAGAGGGUGGACGGCGACAUUGGGACUGUGAUACGGGGCAGACUCCUACGGGGGGCAGCAGUGGGGAAUAUUGCACAAUGGGCGCAAGCCUGAUGCAGCGACGCGGCGUGGGGGAUGACGGCCUUCGGGGUGUAAACUCCUUUCAGCCAUGACGAAGCCUUCGGGUGACGGUAGUGGUAGAAGAAGCACCGGCUAACUACGUG
This 468-nucleotide ribosomal RNA is filed under the name uncultured bacterium. RNAcentral describes it as "partial 16S ribosomal RNA". It matches the Rfam family "Bacterial small subunit ribosomal RNA", at positions 28 to 507 of the family's 1533-position model. The record is from RNAcentral.